CAAUGGUACCCUCAUGUCUGUCUUCUCCCUUUUAUGAGAUAGAUGAUUGGUGGAUGUUUCCUGCUCUGAAGUAGCAUGGGGGCCCUUGUUAAAUCUCCAUUUUCAAACCAACCUGGUGCUGCUUCAGGGCAUAGGCUUAUGAGCACAGACAGACAUACACAUAUGUGUGCACAGUUAUGUUUGCAAUUCAGCAGACUUUACCUGUGCCCAAUGUGCGUCCCCGACUCCAAUCACUGGACACCGCUCCUCCUUCGUGUGAGGCUGUGACCCGAUACAGGCAUCCAUCCUGAUUGACUCUGACAGCACGGCUGGACACAGAUGCCAAGUUAACGACAACACCCCGUGCAAAUGCAACUUCCUUCACGCAACCACGGAACCCUAGCAAACAGAACGGGAUUCGUGUCACAGAAAAGGCUUGGGUCAUUAAUGACCAACUGUUUUUGUACUCUGAAGUUUU
Mus musculus (house mouse) is the source of this 457-nucleotide long non-coding RNA. RefSeq annotates it as predicted gene, 39735. The transcript is spliced from 3 exons. The record is from RefSeq and is a predicted model, not a curated record. NCBI's taxonomy places the organism in Eukaryota, Metazoa, Chordata, Mammalia, Rodentia, Muridae.